Molecule: long non-coding RNA, 534 nt
Organism: Lolium rigidum
Lineage: Eukaryota; Viridiplantae; Streptophyta; Magnoliopsida; Poales; Poaceae
Exons: 4
Source: RefSeq, a predicted model, not a curated record
UUUAGGCAUCACUCUCUUAUUGAUCCACAUGAGCUUAGGAGGCCUGGUGCACAUUGUCAGGUGAGACAAUGGUACAAAGGUUGAUAUUCCAUCGACCCUGAUUUGGUAGAGCAGGUUAGAGUUAUGUUGGGUGGUAUUCAUGUAAACAUGUGUCAGUUAUUGCUCAGGUUGUUCCUCGACGUUCUCCACGUGGAAACCCAGGCGUUCAAAGGGGUCAAAAUCUUGUCUACUAACUCAGGGAUUUGAUUGGAGCGCAUGGUCGGCUGAUAGAGGGAUUCAGAUUUCUAUGCCGCAAGUCAUUCUUCUCUGAAAAUUGAGGACCAACUAGUCCCUGUCCAGUCGAACCGUAUGGAGGUUGAAUCUACACAUUUGGAAUGCAAGUUUGAGCCUCUGGUUCAUUUGCCUUGAAGGCAGCGCCGUCCUCCUGGAGAUGCAGCUCCAACCUGAUGCUGACCCCCACUCUAGGGGCCUCUGCAAUGCUGGCGACGAUAACUCCAGCCUCGACGCCAAGAGAAGCAAAUGCUGCAAAACGAU